Molecule: ribosomal RNA, 434 nt
Filed under: uncultured Lachnospiraceae bacterium
Lineage: Bacteria; Bacillati; Bacillota; Clostridia; Lachnospirales; Lachnospiraceae
Description: partial 16S ribosomal RNA
Rfam family: Bacterial small subunit ribosomal RNA
Source: RNAcentral
ACGGGAGGCAGCAGUGGGGAAUAUUGCACAAUGGGGGAAACCCUGAUGCAGCGACGCCGCGUGAGUGAAGAAGUAUUUCGGUAUGUAAAACUCUAUCAGCAGGGAAGAAAAUGACGGUACCUGACUAAGAAGCCCCGGCUAACUACGUGCCAGCAGCCGCGGUAAUACGUAGGGGGCAAGCGUUAUCCGGAUUUACUGGGUGUAAAGGGAGCGCAGACGGCAAGGCAAGUCUGAUGUGAAAGGUGGGGGCUCAACCCCCAAACUGCAUUGGAAACUGUCUGGCUAGAGUGCCGGAGAGGUAAGCGGAAUUCCUAGUGUAGCGGUGAAAUGCGUAGAUAUUAGGAGGAACACCAGUGGCGAAGGCGGCUUACUGGACGGUAACUGACGUUGAGGCUCGAAAGCGUGGGGAGCAAACAGGAUUAGAUACCCUGGUA